UCUUGACAAGACUCGAUUAUUCUGUGGGCUCUAUACACCAAGAUGCCUGAGGGGGAGAAACAUAAUUUAAACUACAGAACAGGUGUGAGGGUAAAUCUGGCCCCCGUUCCUCCAUCUUGGCUGGAAGUGGAAGUCCCGGUGGAUAUUUUUGAGCCCCUGAUGUAUGCCAGGCACUGCUGUAAGCACUGAGUAUUCAAAGAUGAACAAAAUGAUGUGGCCCCAGUCUCCUAAAAUUUACUAUCAAGAGAAGAAGACAACAGGAUCUCACUAUGUUGUCCAGGCUGGUCUCAAA
RNAcentral lists this long non-coding RNA (292 nucleotides) under Homo sapiens (human). RNAcentral's name for it is "HSALNT0384646". Lineage: Eukaryota; Metazoa; Chordata; Mammalia; Primates; Hominidae. The record is from RNAcentral.